This is a long non-coding RNA of Ornithorhynchus anatinus (platypus), 1018 nucleotides long. RefSeq lists it as uncharacterized. The record is from RefSeq and is a predicted model, not a curated record. Lineage: Eukaryota; Metazoa; Chordata; Mammalia; Monotremata; Ornithorhynchidae. The transcript has 3 exons.
GCCUGGAAGGAAACAUCUCCACCAGGAUUUCUGCAGGACAUGGAACAAAACUGCUGGCCUGAUCCUGGAGUCCAAUGAACUCUUUUUUUAAGAACUGGUAGCACAGGAAGAUGUUGUUAGAACAGACCGUGGAAGAAUACAAAUACAAUAUCUUGGUGUGAAAUUGUAUAGAAUAUGUUGUGUGGUCCAGUGGAAGAUAAACCAUGAAGAAGGAAGAUGGUAAAUAAGUAAAUAAAUCUUGAUAUUCACUGAGAAUUGCUUUGAGAACUCCCCUCCAAAUGAGAUGCCAUCUGUGCCCAACAACUCACAGUUCUCUGGGAUUUCCAUUGGGUGGGUGACCAGCCAGCCCCUGAAGAGGGGCCUGCUGGUGAAAAGAGUCAGCUGACAACAGGGUGAGGGGGAGGGGCUGUAGUUGGCAAUUCAAUCAAUCAUUCAAUCAUAUUUAUUGAGCACCUACUGUAGGCAGAGCACUGUACUAAUAGGUGCUUUGGCUAACUGGUGUGGAUAUUUGGGGCCAAAGAAUGUUUUCUAUCACUGAGUGUUGCCUAUCGGUUGAAGAUGUCCCACAUUAUUCAGAAUGACAGCUUGAAUUCACCUCUCCACUUCACCAAGGGCAAUAUACACUAGACUAAUAGAGUAUGUUUGUAAUGGGCCAUCCUUUGGUAUCCUGCCAAAACAAAGAAAAAAGUAGACAGUUGAUCAUAUAUCCAGAUAAUUUGGGGAGAGGAGAUGUAACUUCCCUUGAUAGAGCAUCAUUGCAUGGUGUGCAAAUGUAUUUUGAAUGUCAUGCUUGAUGGUGUUUCUUAGUGACUCUGAGCCAUAAUGGCAGGGUCUGUCUUUUGUCUAUGAUACUUAUAAAUAUGCCCAGGGGCUAAUAAGAAAUAGGCGCAUCCAAUAAAUGCAUAAAUAAGUAAAUAUAAAGAAUACAUGGUGACUGGUCUCUGUUCUGACAAAUCUUCUUCAGAAGCUGUCCUGUAUUUUUUCAUGUGGGAAAAUAAAUGUCAAAAGUGAUCAACCA